Molecule: ribosomal RNA, 397 nt
Filed under: uncultured bacterium
Lineage: Bacteria
Description: partial 16S ribosomal RNA
Rfam family: Bacterial small subunit ribosomal RNA
Source: RNAcentral
AUACGUAGGUGGCAAGCGUUGUCCGGAUUUAUUGGGCGUAAAGCGAGCGCAGGCGGUCUCUUAAGUCUGAUGUGAAAGCCCCCGGCUCAACCGGGGAGGGUCAUUGGAAACUGGGAGACUUGAGUGCAGAAGAGGAGAGUGGAAUUCCAUGUGUAGCGGUGAAAUGCGGAGAUAUAUGGAGGAACACCAGUGGCGAAGGCGGCUCUCUGGUCUGUAACUGACGCUGAGGCUCGAAAGCGUGGGGAGCAAACAGGAUUAGAUACCCUGGUAGUCCACGCCGUAAACGAUGAGUGCUAAGUGUUGGAGGGUUUCCGCCCUUCAGUGCUGCAGCUAACGCAUUAAGCACUCCGCCUGGGGAGUACGGCCGCAAGGCUGAAACUCAAAUGAAUUGACGGGG